Salvia hispanica is the source of this 1103-nucleotide long non-coding RNA. RefSeq lists it as uncharacterized. The record is from RefSeq and is a predicted model, not a curated record. NCBI's taxonomy places the organism in Eukaryota, Viridiplantae, Streptophyta, Magnoliopsida, Lamiales, Lamiaceae.
GAUCAGUUUUAACGCACGAAUCCAAGACUCAAUUCAUGUCUGCAGUUUUUCCUUUUUCCUCCUUUAUGCCUCUCUUUCUUCUCAGAUUGCGUUCAGUUUCAUCUAAAGAUUUUGCAGCGAUUUGAACUAAAUUUUGUUUAUUUAUUUUCUAACAUAAUGCCCGAUGAUGGAAAACUUUAAACAUUGAAUUGGCGUGAUGAUGGAUCUGGAUUCAUCAGUGGCCUUCGUGUUGCCUGGAUAGUCUGCCGCCUCUGCCUCCACCUCCACCACCACCACCACUUCAAAAUCAAGCACUCGCACACGUGCACGCGGAGGUUGGUAGAUUGUCCUUGGUGGCGCGUGAGGCUCCUGAUGAAUCUGGUCCAUUUUUCCUCGCCGCUUAUGAUUCAUAAGCUAUGAGAUCUGAGGGCUUAGUUUUAUGAAUAUGCAAUUCUAUUCAUUUUAUAAUUUAUUUCACAUUUUAUAGAAUUUUUGUUUUGCUAAUCCUUUGAUUUUGUGACUAGUUUCCGUUUUCGAUUUGUAAGUAUUUUUGUAUGUGUGUGUUGUGUUAAACCCAGUGAUGUUAAAUCUGAAAUGGAGAAUGUUGCUUUGGUUUCCAUCGGUAGCCUCCCCGCCCCCUUCACUGUAACAAGGCUUUUCCUUCAUCGUCAUCAUCAUUAUCGUCUUCUUCAUCAUCACCACCACCUUCGUCGUUGUCAAUUAGCUGCUGCUGCUGCUGCUGCUUCUCUUACUAUUACUCCCUCGUCCUUGUUAAGUAUGCGAGGCAAAAACUUGUUUGCAUUUGGGGCCAAGGACUGGCUUUGCUGGUAGCAAUGAUACUAUUGUUGUGUAUCUUGGUCUACUUCAAGUUUUGAUUGUUUUUCCAAAAUUUUUAAGCUAAUCAUUGGAUGAUUGAAAUUUUACUUUUAUCAUAUAUAUCAUAUAGAAUUUUUAUAUAAUUUUCAUCUGGAUCAUGGUCUCUCGUUACAAUGACUCAAAACUCUAGAACAUCCAAUAAAUGAUAUUUUGAUUUAUAAUUAUGAUAAUGGCACUCUGUAUUAUUAUUGAGCAAAAUGAGCUUAUGCAACAUAAUAUGCCAAAUUUCAAACAAUUGUCAGUUCUAA